GAUUCCUCAUCCUGUUCUUCCCGUGAAGUGAAGUCUCUGAAGAGGAAACAUUUGUCGGAACAAGAGAAAAACUUUCUGACCGAAGGCAGAGUCACCCACAGUCACUGAUGCCUGUUUCUCAAUGCUUUGAGCUGUGAAAUACCCUGCCUCAUGAAUAUGCAAAUAACCUGAGGUCACCUGAGAUAAAUAUAAAUAUAUUGGUGCCCUGAAAGCAUCACAUAACAACCACAUCCCUCCUCUAAAGAAGCCCCUGGGAGCACAGCUCAUCACCAUGGACUGGACCUGGAGGCUCCUCUUUGUGGUGGCAGCAGCUACAGGUGCCCAGUCCCAGGUCCAGCUGGUGCAGUCCGGGGCUGAGGUGAAGAAGCCGGGGGCCUCAGUGAAGGUCUCCUGCAAGUCUUCUGGAUUCACCUUCGGCAGCGAUGCUAUCAGCUGGGUGCGACAGGCCCCUGGACAAGGGCUUGAGUGGAUGGGAGUGAUCAUCCCUCUUGUUGGUAUAACAAACUACGCACAGAAGUUCCAGGGCAGAGUCACAAUUACCGCCGACACGUCCACUAACACAGCCUACCUGGAGCUGAGCAGCCUGAGAUCCGAGGACACGGCCGUGUAUUACUGUGCGAGAGACACAGUGUGAAAACCACAUCCUGAGAGUGUCAGAAACCCUGAGGGAGAAGGCAGCUGUGCAGGACUGAGGAGAUGACAGGGGUUAUUAAGUUUAAGGCUGUUUACAAAAUGGGUUAUACAUUCGAGAAAAAAAGAACAAUAGAAGCAAGUACAUCCUCUAAUUUUAAGAUAAAUACUCCAUUCAAGAAUAAUCAUAUGAGCCAAAUUCACAGAGUGGAAACGGCCACACUCAAUAAAGUUGAUACAAACAUUCCAUGAAGGUGCUACUGUGAGCAAAUUUUCCAAUGGGAUGAAUACAUGAUUUGCAACAAGGUUAUUUGAUCACGUAGUGAGACUAAGAAUGAUUCUUAAAACAUGGCAAAAAUUUAUUUUAAAUGUUUCUGUCACUCCUUCUCAUAAAGUUUAUUUUAGAGCAGUUUUAGGAUUACAAAGAAAUUGAACAGAAGGUGUGAGAAUUCCCACUAAUCCCUGCCCUACACAGGCACAGCCUCCUCCACAACGACCAUCCUGCCCCACAGGCAAAAAUCUGUCACAAUGGAUCAAUCUCCAAGGACACUUGGUUCUUUCUUUUUCUGGUGAUGCUCUAAUAUAACAAACGUAAAGUAUUUCAGAGCACCACAGGUUUUUUCAGUGCUUUCUAAAACUGAUAUUAGUUAGAGGGAAAGUGGGUGAGGCUACUACUAUUUGAAAUCUUUCUUCAAAAAUCCAGAAAAUAUAGCAUCCUUUAAUGAGAAUUGGAGACCCUGGCAAUGAGAGACUCCAUGUAUAAUGCCCUAGAGUUGGAUUAGAUGCA
This is a non-coding RNA of Cercocebus atys (sooty mangabey), 1417 nucleotides long. The record is from the annotation of a RefSeq genome assembly. NCBI's taxonomy places the organism in Eukaryota, Metazoa, Chordata, Mammalia, Primates, Cercopithecidae.